UAAGUAAAUCGCCUUAUCGCACAGGCAUUUUGUUUGUGAGGAAAGUCUGGACACCGUAGUGCAAUAUAGUGGUUAACAGCCACCAGCCGUGAGGUUAGGAAAAGUGCAACAGAAAGUAUGUACAGGUCAUGCUGUAGUGAAACCAGGUAAACUCUAUGUGGUGCAAUGUCAUGUAAACUAGCGUUUGAGCGUGCACGCGCGAGCUAGAGGGUAGGCAGCUAAAGUGUGUUGGUAACAACUCAUGUAGAUAAAUGAUAAGGGCUCGAAAGAGUACAGAAUCCGGCUUAUAGGUUUACUUAAAUA
Molecule: RNase P RNA, 303 nt
Filed under: Lacinutrix venerupis
Lineage: Bacteria; Pseudomonadati; Bacteroidota; Flavobacteriia; Flavobacteriales; Flavobacteriaceae
Description: RNase P RNA component class A
Rfam family: Bacterial RNase P class A
About the family: Ribonuclease P (RNase P) is a ubiquitous endoribonuclease, found in archaea, bacteria and eukarya as well as chloroplasts and mitochondria. Its best characterised activity is the generation of mature 5'-ends of tRNAs by cleaving the 5'-leader elements of precursor-tRNAs.
Source: RNAcentral